This 301-nucleotide ribosomal RNA is filed under the name uncultured bacterium. RNAcentral describes it as "partial 16S ribosomal RNA". It matches the Rfam family "Bacterial small subunit ribosomal RNA", at positions 509 to 808 of the family's 1533-position model. The record is from RNAcentral.
CAGCAGCCGCGGGAAUACGUAGGUGGCAAGCGUUGUCCGGAAUUAUUGGGCGUAAAGCGCGCGCAGGUGGUUUAAUAAGUCUGAUGUGAAAGCCCACGGCUCAACCGUGGAGGGUCAUUGGAAACUGUUAAACCUGAGUGCAGGAGAGAAAAGUGGAAUUCCUAGUGUAGCGGUGAAAUACGUAGAGAUUAGGAGGAACACCAGUGGCGAAGGCGGCUUUUUGGCCUGUAACUGACACUGAGGCGCGAAAGCGUGGGAGCAAACAGGAUUAGAUACCCCCGUAGUCCCUGUCUCUUAUACA